AACAUUAUGCCUGGAAUGGUUUAUGUUUCAAAUAAUUUAUUGCCGUAGGAUGGGACUGCGGCCUAUCAGUUUGUUGGUGAGGUAAUGGCCCACCAAGACUAUUACAGGUACGGGCUCUGAGAGGAGUAGCCCGGAGAUGGGUACUGAGACACGGACCCAGGCCCUAUGGGGCGCAGCAGGCGAGAAAACUUUGCAAUGUGCGAAAGCACGACAAGGUUAAUCCGAGUGGUUUCUGCUAAAGGAACCUUUUGUCAGUCCUAGAAACACUGAUGAAUAAGGGGUGGGCAAGUUCUGGUGUCAGCCGCCGCGGUAAAACCAGCACCUCAAGUGGUCAGGAUGAUUAUUGGGCCUAAAGCAUCCGUAGCCUGCUUUGUAAGUUUUCGGUUAAAUCCAUACGCUCAACGUAUGGGCUGCCGGGAAUACUGCAAAGCUAGGGAGUGGGAGAGGUAGACGGUACUCGGUAGGAAGGGGUAAAAUCCUUUGAUCUAUUGAUGACCACCUGUGGCGAAGGCGGUCUACCAGAACACGUCCGACGGUGAGGGAUGAAAGCUGGGGGAGCAAACCGGAUUA
This 570-nucleotide ribosomal RNA is filed under the name uncultured archaeon. RNAcentral's name for it is "bacterial SSU rRNA". It matches the Rfam family "Archaeal small subunit ribosomal RNA", at positions 156 to 731 of the family's 1478-position model. The record is from RNAcentral.